This 1387-nucleotide long non-coding RNA is filed under the name Canis lupus dingo (dingo). Its description in RNAcentral is "lncRNA (ENSCAFG00020019634.1)". Lineage: Eukaryota; Metazoa; Chordata; Mammalia; Carnivora; Canidae. The record is from RNAcentral.
CCCUUCCUUUGGUGCCUCUGAGCCUCCCCAGAACCCUCUCGAGGGCGAGCCUGACCCAAGGGAGGCUGUGCAGGGAGCCAAGUCGGCCUGGCCGCCGCUGGUCUGCGCCGCUGCGGGGCUGUCAGGGUCCCCUGUGCGCCCCGAGCCCGGUGGCAGAGGCGGUGGGUGUGGCAGGCUGGGUCUGCAGCUGGGGACCACAGGCUCUGUAGCAGUUGUCACAAGAUGCGAUUUAGGCAGCCGGAACCCCCUCGGGGCCUCCCCUGGUCCUCACGGUGGGUUCUGGCCUUGGGGGUGGGCAGAGAAGCAAGGGUGUGCUCCCCGAGGACCUGAGCUGGGCUGGGGGACGGGCCUGGCCUGGGCCCUGGUGCUGCUGUUGCCCACCCCGAGGCUCCCAGCCUGCUGCCAGCUGCUCGCCCGCCCUCGUGCUGUGGGCCGUGUGCCCCUGUUCUCGCCUCCUUGGCCCCCGGGGCAGCCGGUCGGGGGCCCCUGGUCUGCGCCUCGGGUCUGCAGAGCCCUGCUUGUCCGGGGGCAUCUGGGGGUGCGCUGCAGGGGCAGGGGGGGGGCGGUGUGUGUCCUGCAGACCGCGGAGACUCUGUGCCUGAGGACCAGGGUCUGGGCUGGGGGGGCCGGUCCCUGCUCAGCGUUCUUCUGUGUUUCACGAUCUUUUUAAGUUUUCCUUGUUUUUGUUUUUAUUUUUCUUCAAGAUUUUAUGUUUGAGAGAGCGCGCCCCAGGGGCCACGGGAGGGGCAGAGGGAGAGGGAGGAGCUCCCUGCUGAGCGGGGACCCCCACCCCCACCCCGGGGCUCCAUCCCAGGACCCGGGCUCUCACCCAGAGCCUCCACUGAGCCUUCCAGGCGCCCCGUAACUUCUCCGUGUUUUAAAAUGCGGGUACGGUACCGAAGCCAAGGUGUCCCAACCCCGUCCCGAGCGGGCCGUGCUCUGCUGCCACCUGGUGGCCACCAUGCCCCCUGCGCGGCACUCGGUGGGCGGCCCGCUGUGUGGGGACCUGCACCCCGCCGCUGGGGUGCGCCCGCCUUCCGGGGGGCCUGCCGUCUCUGGCUCCUGGGCCAACCCAGCUUGGGGCGAUGGGGGCGGAUGGGGGCCCCGGGACCGUGACUGCCUGCUGGGACCCUGUGACUGCGGCCUGAGGGGCAGGGCCCCUGGGCCCCUGGGGCUCCCCCGGGUGGGGGCGGGGCGCAGCGCUGGCGGCUCCUCGGCCUGGCUGCGCUGUAACCGGGCCCGCCGGGACGGCCCAGGCCUGUCUGUGCGGAGCCCGCGAUCCCUCUGCUCUCUCGCCAAACGGCCGUUAAUGGCCUCUCCCAGCUACUGAACCGGCAGCUGCCUCCAGCCUGGCGGCCUCCCGCGCCUCCGCUCCUCCGGCCCCUCG